CAGAGGUGGCAAGCGUUGUUCGGAAUUACUGGGCGUAAAGGGCGCGUAGGCGGUCUUGUAAGUCUUGUGUGAAAUCCCUCGGCUUAACUGAGGAACUGCACGGGAUACUGCGAGACUUGAGAUCGGGAGAGGGAAGCGGAAUUCCGGGUGUAGCGGUGAAAUGCGUAGAUAUCCGGAGGAACACCGGUGGCGAAGGCGGCUUCCUGGACCGACACUGACGCUGAGGCGCGAAAGCUAGGGGAGCAAACGGGAUUAGAUACCCCGGUAGUCCUAGCUGUAAACGAUGAGUGCUGGGUGUAGGGGGUAUUAACCCUCCUGUGCCGAAGCUAACGCAUUAAGCACUCCGCCUGGGGAGUACGGUCGCAAGGCUG
RNAcentral lists this ribosomal RNA (371 nucleotides) under uncultured organism. RNAcentral's name for it is "bacterial SSU rRNA". It matches the Rfam family "Bacterial small subunit ribosomal RNA", at positions 526 to 896 of the family's 1533-position model. The record is from RNAcentral.